This 22-nucleotide microRNA is filed under the name Mus musculus (house mouse). Its description in RNAcentral is "mmu-miR-293-3p". Its record names the gene mmu-miR-293-3p. Lineage: Eukaryota; Metazoa; Chordata; Mammalia; Rodentia; Muridae. The record is from miRBase by way of RNAcentral.
AGUGCCGCAGAGUUUGUAGUGU